This 466-nucleotide ribosomal RNA is filed under the name uncultured bacterium. RNAcentral describes it as "bacterial SSU rRNA". It matches the Rfam family "Bacterial small subunit ribosomal RNA", at positions 29 to 506 of the family's 1533-position model. The record is from RNAcentral.
AUGAAUGCUGGCGGCGUGUCUAAGGCAUGCAAGUCGAACGGUCCUCCAUAACUCGCAAGAGCGACGGAGGAUAGUGGCAAACGGGAGCGUAACACAUUGGCAACCUACCUCGCACUCGUGGAUAACGGUUGGAAACGACCGCUAAUACACGAUAUUGAUGGAGAGAUGCAAAUCUCAUCAUUGAAAGUUUUUCGGUGCGAGAGGGGCCUAUGGUCCAUCAGCUAGUUGGAGGGGUAACGGCCCACCAAGGCUAUGACGGAUACCAGGCGCGAGAGCGUGACCUGGCUCAUUGGAACUGAGACACUGUCCAAACACCUACGGGUGGCUGCAGUCGAGAAUAUUCCACAAUGCACGAAAGUGUGAUGGAGCGACGCCGCGUGUCAAAAGAAGGCCUUCGGGUCGUAAAUGACUUUUCUCAGGGACGAAUUUUGACGGUACCUGAGGAAUAAGGGGUUGCUAACUCUGU